AAGCACAAAGUGAACUAUUCUUUCGCCUUUUACUAAAGAAUACCGUGUGGCAUAUGCUUAUUUUUGGAGGAGCUCCUCUUAUUGAGGGCU
This is a non-coding RNA of Lupinus angustifolius (narrow-leaved blue lupine), 90 nucleotides long. The record is from Rfam. NCBI's taxonomy places the organism in Eukaryota, Viridiplantae, Streptophyta, Magnoliopsida, Fabales, Fabaceae.